UGAGGUUAGGUUAAGGGUUAGGUUUUAGGGUUAAUUUAUGGUUGAGAUUAGGUUUAGGGUUAGAUUUUACGGUUGAUUCAUGGUUGAGGUUAGGUUUAAGAUUAGGUUUUAGGGUUGAUUAAUGGUUGAUGUUAGGUUUAGGGUUAGCUUUUAGGGUUGAUUCAUGGUUGAGGUUAGAUUUUAGGGUUGAUUCAUGGUUGAGGUUAGGUUUAGGGUUGAUUCAUGGUUGAGGUUAGGUUUAGGGUUAGAUUUUAUGGUAGAUUCAUAGGUGAGGUUAGGUUUAGGAUUAGGUUUUAGGGUUGAUUAAUGAUUGAGGUUAGGUUUAGGGUUAGAUUUUCGGUUUCAUUCAUGGUUGAGGUUUUAGGGUUGAUUAAUUAUUAAACUUUAUAACAGGCUCUAGGCCCAAUAGGAAGACAUACAACAUAUACAUAAGAAAAGAAGAUUAAUGAUUGAGGUUAGGUUUAGGGUUAGAUUUUAGGGUUGAUUCAUGGUUAAGGUUAGGUUUAGGUUAUGUUUUAGGGUUGAUUCAUGGUUAAGGUUAGGUUUAGGUUAUGUUUUAGGGUUGAUUCAUGGUUGAGGUUAGAUUUUAGGGUUGAUUCAUGGUUAAGGUUAGGUUUAGGUUAUGUUUUAGGGUUGAUUCAUGGUUAAGGUUAGGUUUAGGUUAUGUUUUAGGGUUGAUUCAUGGUUGAGGUUAGAUUUUAGGGUUGAUUCAUGGUUAAGGUUAGGUUUAGGUUAUGUUUUAGGGUUAAUUCAUGGUUGAGGUUAGAUUUUAGGGUUGAUUCAUGGUUGAGGUUAGGUUUAGGUUAUGUUUUAGGGUUGAUUCAUGGUUAAGGUUAGGUUUAGGUUAUGUUUUAGGGUUGAUUCAUGGUUGAGGUUAGGUUUAUGAUUCAGAUAUUUUGAAAUGUAUGCCAUAUUAACAGUUUUAUAAGUAUUCAGAGAAGAGAAGAUUCUAAAUUGUCUUAAUAUAUUGUUUACUUAAUUACU
Molecule: long non-coding RNA, 984 nt
Organism: Astyanax mexicanus (Mexican tetra)
Lineage: Eukaryota; Metazoa; Chordata; Actinopteri; Characiformes; Acestrorhamphidae
Exons: 3
Source: RefSeq, a predicted model, not a curated record